CUUUGUAAUACGUUUUACAAAUGUUUAUUUUUACAAUUACACAUUUUCCUAAUAUAUAUUAUUAUUCUAACCGUUGUUUUGUUGGUAUCAUAAUAAUAGGUAAAUCAUCAUAAACAUUUUGUCAUCUGUUCUAUUUUUUUUUUUUUUUACUUGAGGAAUGAUCACAUCGUUUUUUGUACAACACUCAACUUUAUCAUUAUACACUUUUUUGAAAUUGAAAAUGCUAUUUAUAAUGUAAGUUAGAUCAAAUUUCCGAUUUCACAGGUAGUGCCUGUGCAUGACAUGCACGACCCGGAGACACGCCUACGUGUAUGACACUAAAAUUCAAAUUGUUAACAUGGCUAUGAUCAGAAAUCAGUUCAUGAUAUUAGAAUAUAAUAUAUUAUAGGUAAAAACAGUUAUAUUAAACUUCUAAUAAUAGAAUAAAAUGCUUUAUAGCUGGUAAAAUAUUUUCACAUUAAUUCAUAAAGAUUCU
This is a non-coding RNA of Cinara cedri, 475 nucleotides long. NCBI's taxonomy places the organism in Eukaryota, Metazoa, Arthropoda, Insecta, Hemiptera, Aphididae. The record is from the annotation of a GenBank genome assembly.